Molecule: ribosomal RNA, 151 nt
Filed under: Anophryoides haemophila
Lineage: Eukaryota; Ciliophora; Oligohymenophorea; Philasterida; Glauconematidae
Description: 5.8S ribosomal RNA
Rfam family: 5.8S ribosomal RNA
About the family: 5.8S ribosomal RNA (5.8S rRNA) is a component of the large subunit of the eukaryotic ribosome. It is transcribed by RNA polymerase I as part of the 45S precursor that also contains 18S and 28S rRNA.
Source: RNAcentral
AUUUUCAACGGUGGAUAUCUUGGUUCCCAUAUCGAUGAAGAACGCAGCCAAAUGCGAUACGCAAUGCGAAUUGCAGAAUUCCGCGAGUCAUCAGAUCUUUGAACGCAAAUGGCGCUGGGUUAAACAAUACCCCGGCAUAUUUGCUUCAGUG